RNAcentral lists this ribosomal RNA (484 nucleotides) under uncultured bacterium. RNAcentral describes it as "partial 16S ribosomal RNA". It matches the Rfam family "Bacterial small subunit ribosomal RNA", at positions 28 to 507 of the family's 1533-position model. The record is from RNAcentral.
AUUGAACGCUGGCGGCAUGCUUUACACAUGCAAGUCGAACGGCAGCGCGGGCUUCGUCCUGGCGGCGAGUGGCGAACGGGUGAGUAAUGCAUCGGAACGUGCCCAGUAGUGGGGGAUAGCCCGGCGAAAGCCGGAUUAAUACCGCAUACGACCUGAUGGUGAAAGCGGGGGACCGAAAGGCCUCGCGCUAUUGGAGCGGCCGAUGUCGGAUUAGCUAGUUGGUGGGGUAAAGGCUUACCAAGGCGACGAUCCGUGGCUGGUCUGAGAGGACGACCAGCCACACUGGGACUGAGACACGGCCCAGACUCCUACGGGAGGCAGCAGUGGGGAAUUUUGGACAAUGGGGGCAACCCUGAUCCAGCCAUGCCGCGUGCGGGAAGAAGGCCUUCGGGUUGUAAAACGCUUUUGUUCGGGAAGAAAUCCUCUGGGCUAAUACCCCGGGGGGAUGACGGUACCGGAAGAAUAAGCACCGGCUAACUACGUG